ACAAAAAUCUCUAGGUAAAUUGAUUGGUAGGUUUUAGGAACCCUUAGUAAUGUUACCCGUCCUCUCUUUAGCUAGGACGAAUAACCUUGCAAGCAGCCUGUUCUAGCCCAAUGAUCUCAUGUCUACCCUUAUAGUAAUAGCCAGGAUUCAUUUAGUGCUGAUACAACCUCUUAGUUGUACUUGUUGAAUACCACCUUUGAUCUAAAAAUCGUAGGCAAUUUAUUAUGGAUCUGUACUUAGGAUAUUGUCUGCUAAUUUCUUUCUGAUCAAUAUAGAAUUUCUUUAGAAGCCAACUUCUUGAUGUUCCCAAUUGAUAUACUGAUAAGAAUCUGAAGUGGAUAAAAAGGCCGCUUCAUAAGUUCAUGGGAAAAUGAUUUAUGCCUUGAAUAGGAACUUGUUACGUGAAAAUAAGAACUUGAUAAAUCAGUUUCCAUAUUCUAAGUGAUGGAGGUAUUGUCUGUUUCAGCUAAUUUUGCCAUUUGGACAACAAAGUUACUAUGGAUUAAUAGAAUGAUUCAAGCGCCACUCAAAGAUUAGUCUGGUUAGUCUUAUUUUACCUUUUAAGAUGUAGAUGGUAGGAAAGUCUCGAGUUUGAGGAUUCUUAUCUAACAAUUCUAAUAUAAUUCACUUUUAUGCUAAGAUAAAAAAAAUAAAAAAUAAAAA
This 663-nucleotide unclassified non-coding RNA is filed under the name Hevea brasiliensis (rubber tree). Lineage: Eukaryota; Viridiplantae; Streptophyta; Magnoliopsida; Malpighiales; Euphorbiaceae. The record is from RNAcentral.